RNAcentral lists this unclassified non-coding RNA (540 nucleotides) under Hevea brasiliensis (rubber tree). Lineage: Eukaryota; Viridiplantae; Streptophyta; Magnoliopsida; Malpighiales; Euphorbiaceae. The record is from RNAcentral.
UUCAAUAAAAGGUGCUCAGAAAGCUGCACAGUUGGCUGCUCGUUGCCUUAGUCGUGAUCCCAAAGUUAGGCCUAUGAUGAGUGAAGUGGUAGAAGCCUUGAAGCCAUUACCAAAUCUUAAAGACAUGGCCAGCUCAUCCUACUAUUUCCAGACAAUGCAAGCAGACCGAGUUGGAUCAAGUCCAAGUACCAAAAAUGGCGUUAGGACACAGGGAUCAUUCUCGAGGAAUGGACAACAACAUCCUAGAAGUCUUUCAAUCCCAAAUGGUUCUCAUGCUUCUCCAUACCAUCAACAGUUUCCUCAGAACUCACCAAAACCAAACGGCAAAACUUAGUAUUAUUGGAUUGACAAGUAAUCUGUUUCUAUCAUUCUUUUCGUUUUCUCUCCAGCUAUGAAUAUAUUUUGUUGGCCACCUCCCGUUUUGUCGUUGGAUGAACUGGCAAAAGGGAAGGAGUGCACAAUUAACUUAAGUUGUGAUCUUUGAAAAUGCUGAACUCCCACUUGAAAAGAAUGUAUUGUAAGCGGAGCUCAAGUCCAUGG